CAUACUGCAUAUGACUGCAACUAAAAGUAUAGAAGAAGCUUUGGGAGCAGGCAGCGAGUAGAGAGAGACAGGACAAGUUUCCAGCACCUAAGGAAACUGGAAGCUUGGACUUCAUGAACAGUAACGAAGAAUGAUUGACAUGGAGCCUCAGCAAAUCCGGUACUGUCAGAGGGGCCACAGCAUCGGAGAGACAGGCAACAGAGUGCUCCGAAGGCUCUGCUUGGUAUGAGAACAUGCAUGGAAAUGUGCCAGCGUUCUUGGCAUUAAUGUGAUCCAGGAGUCAAGUUAAUAUCAGCUUCAGCACCAACCUCAAGAGCUGGGAUGUGUCCAAAAUCCUCCUGGAGAGUCCCAGGGUGCAGGAUUCCACCUUCUGGCACUGACCAAAUUCACGAGCUUCUGGGGUCUUCACUUCCACCUGGCUUCUACCGGCUGCCAGACCCUUCAACCUCCCUCCUAGCAUAGCACUCGCUGCAGGAAGCUGGCUCCAGGACUUCACUAGUGACCCAAGGGAAUAGGAUGGAGGAAGGAGGGGAGAUCCUUUAAAACUCAAUGCCAAAUUUC
Molecule: long non-coding RNA, 561 nt
Organism: Heterocephalus glaber (naked mole-rat)
Lineage: Eukaryota; Metazoa; Chordata; Mammalia; Rodentia; Bathyergidae
Source: RefSeq, a predicted model, not a curated record